Molecule: ribosomal RNA, 236 nt
Filed under: uncultured bacterium
Lineage: Bacteria
Description: partial 16S ribosomal RNA
Rfam family: Bacterial small subunit ribosomal RNA
Source: RNAcentral
CGGGACGGGUGAGUAACGCGUGGAUAACCUGCCUCACACUGGGGGAUAACAGUUAGAAAUGACUGCUAAUACCGCAUAAGCGCACAGUACCGCAUGGUACAGUGUGAAAAACUCCGGUGGUGUGAAAUGGAUCCGCGUCUGAUUAGCCAGUUGGCGGGGUAACGGCCCACCAAAGCGACGAUCAGUAGCCGACCUGAGAGGGUGACCGGCCACAUUGGGACUGAGACACGGCCCAA